AUGAGGAAUAUUGCGCAAUGGGGGAAACCCUGACGCAGCGACGCCGCGUGGGUGAGGAAGUCCUUCGGGAUGUAAAGCCCUUUUCUGGGGGAAGAAAAAAAUGACGGUACUCCAGGAAGAAGCCCCGGCUAACUACGUGCCAGCAGCCGCGGUAAUACGUAGGGGGCAAGCGUUGUCCGGAUUUACUGGGCGUAAAGCGCGCGUAGGCGGAGGGAGAAGUCCGGUGUGAAAGCCCACGGCUCAACCGUGGAAGGUCGCUGGAAACUCUUCUUCUUGAGGGCGACAGAGGGAAGUGGAAUUGCUGGUGUAGCGGUGAAAUGCGUAGAUAUCAGCAGGAACACCCAUGGCGAAGGCAGCUUCCUGGGUCGGCCCUGACGCUGAGGCGCGAAAGCGUGGGGAGCGAACGG
This 407-nucleotide ribosomal RNA is filed under the name uncultured bacterium. RNAcentral describes it as "bacterial SSU rRNA". It matches the Rfam family "Bacterial small subunit ribosomal RNA", at positions 354 to 775 of the family's 1533-position model. The record is from RNAcentral.